Pan troglodytes (chimpanzee) is the source of this 3794-nucleotide long non-coding RNA. RefSeq lists it as uncharacterized. The record is from RefSeq and is a predicted model, not a curated record. The transcript is spliced from 4 exons. NCBI's taxonomy places the organism in Eukaryota, Metazoa, Chordata, Mammalia, Primates, Hominidae.
GUAAUUCUCCUGCCUCAGCUUCCCGAGUAGCUAUGAUUACAGGCAUGUGCCACCACACCAGGCUAAUUUUUUGUAUUUUCAGUAGAGAUGGGGUUUUACCACAUUGGCCAGGCUGGUCUUGAGCUCCUGACCUCAAGUGAUCCACCUGCCUUGGUCUCCCAAAGUGUUGGGAUUACAGGCAUAGCCACUAUGUCUGGCCUGUGGCCAGUUUUUACAGAGAAAAGGUGGGGUGUUGGGUUCUUUGUUUUUACACGGGAAAGGUGGGGUCAGCUUAUUUAGCUGACCUUGCUAUAGGAUAUGGUGUAUUAGGUAGCACGGAGAAUUUUGGAUUUUCGGGUGUUGGGGGGCAGGGAGUUAGAGUAAUUAUUUGGGGGAAAGGGGUACUGGUUUCUAUGAUGUGCCUAAGGGAAGAGGGAUUCUAGUUUCUCUGGCUAGCCUCAGAGGAGAAUGAGGGGCAGGGACAGGAGGGCAAGAGAAGAUCAGAGAAAAACGUUUGCUUCUGAGGUUAUAGCUGAGGCCUCAUUCUAGGCUUCUGUUUCCUGAGCCCAUGUUGUCCCUGUUGACAUCAAGAGGCCUAGGGGCAACAGAUGACCUCCUCCCAGCUCUAGGAGCUCUGAUGUUCUGACAUGGACAGCAGACUACUAGGCUCUGCCCUGAGCUGAGCCAGGUUUUGGGGAGCUAUGGGAUACACAGGUGCCCACUGGUAGAUGGCACUUUUCAGCUAUUAAAAGCCCCCAAAGGUAAACAUCUGUAUUGAUCAUUCAGCACCCCCUUAAGCUGAUGAUGUGGGACCCACACUGCCCAUGCCCCACUGUAUAGCUAAGGAAACUGCCCAACCCGCAGCAGAGGAGGGACAGCGCCAGGACUCACUGCCCCGAACAGUGCCCUGGAAAGUCCAUCCUCUCUCCCUAUGACCAUGUCAGGGCCCACAGAGAAAAACUGGCCAUGACCCUAUUAAAUUGGCUUGGGCUGGCACAGAAUGCGCUGGACCUGGCCUUUCCCUUAAGCCCCAUUAAGCUGAAAAGCAAGGACUGUGGCUGAUUGUGGCCAUGUGCCCACGGGUUCCUCCUGGCCACUAAUAUUCUACUGACCCUGUAUAUAAGUAUAUAAGCAUCAUUUAGCCAUGUUUUUUUUUUUGUUUUGUUUUUAAUGAGACGGAAUCUCAUUCUGUCGCCCAGGCUGGAGUGGAGUGGCACGAUCUCAGCUCACUGCAACCUCCGCCUCCCGGGUUCAAGCAAUUCUUCUCCCUCAGCCUCCCAAGCAGCUGGGACUACAGGCGUGCGCCACCACACCUGCAUUUAGCCAUUUAGCCAAGUUCUAUUCCUUCUUGGUGGUGGUGGUGGGGUUCCCAUAGCCUGAAGAAUAAGGGCCUGGGGCUCUGGGCCUGGGGACUGAAGCUUAGGCCUGGGAGACCUGAAGCUCCAGUGGAAGAUGCUUUCCUGGACUUUCUUGGCAGCAAAAAAAACUUCACCUCUUGCCUAUGAAUUGCCUGUAUUUUAAAGGGUGUGUGUGUGUGUGUGUGUGUGAGAGAGAGAGAGAGAGAAAUUGAGGUGUAAUUAUUUUGCUGGGUGAUGACAACAAACAUUUACUGCUCCUAAACAGGCAAGGAAAUGAUUUAGCCAUGAACUUUUCAUGAUGCCUCAUUCCCUCCUGUGGUCCCGUGGUCCUCAGGCUGCGCAGUGGGAGAAGGGGGGUGGGGGGCCACAAAUAACCCUCGUGGAAAGGAAUGUGGGGUCAGCCUCAGGAAAACUGGGAGGGGAGGUCCCACCUGAUGGGGGUCUUUGUAAACUUUACCAAGGGAAGCCCAGAAACACAAAGAGGUGCAGGGAGAGAAAGAAGGAGGAGGUGUUUUAAAGAGUAAAGCCUGGCAUUAGAAAGUGUUAUUCGAGUAAAAUGGCCAACGUUUCCUUUCUUUUAAGAGCGACUCUUAAAUUCCAAUUACUCCGCCCCCAAAGACCAGUUGAGAAUAACCCCAACUGGAGGGAAUUAAUUUCCUUAGGAAUUUCACUCUUACAAGAUUAAUGGAGCCCCCCUGCAGAGAAACGGUAAAACUGUAAGUACAGUAGAUUUGCACCUGAAGGAUACAUAUUUUAAUUUCUGUUCUCAAGCUGCGAUAACAUCUUCUCCAGCUACUAUAAAAAGCAUAAAUGAGCACCCGCACGUCUGCUGAGAACUUGCAACCCCAGGCUCCCCGGGAGCAGCCCCGCGCCGACCCUCCACGUUGCUCGCCUGGGUGCGGGGACCGCGGCGUGGGCGCGGGGAUGGGAAGGCGCGGGGAUGGGAAGGCCUGGGGCAAACAGCCUCCCCGCGAGCCGGGUCGACCCAGCCCAGAGCAGAACCCCUGGACCAGAUUAUCCUAAGUCCACCCCUACCCCGCCCCCAGCCCCGUCACCCACCCUGGCACCGCCCUCCCGCGGGGACAAUUGGCCUGGACCAAGAAUGGGGAGCCUGAACAGUGGCCGGUCUCCCACCCGCUCCUCCGGAGCCUGCAGGGGGGUUCAGCCUCUGUCCAGCAGACUUCCUGGCUCCAAGAACGGGCCUUGGGAAGGGGCUCCCCUGACUCCAAGUUGACAGCAGCCCGUCCCUUCUCCUUAGCCCAAGCCACUCUGGCAAUGGGGACCCGCCUCCCUCACGCUAACCAAGGACCGGUCUGGGAUGGGGAGUUGGAGAUGGGCUGUGAGGACUCUUCUCUCAGCCCUUAAGAGUCCAGAACUUAUCUGGGAACACAUCAGCCAAUUUUCUGUUCCCUUUCUUGCCAGGGACUGCUUUUAUUGGAAGAAGUCUAUGUAUAUGCAUUGCUAUAAAGGUUGUUUAUGCUGUCAUAGCUAGAUUUUUAUUGGUUGUAUUUUUGCUGCACUUGCUUGAAAAAUAAUUAUUUUCAAAGAAAAGAAGAAUUAUAUAUCCAGUAAACUAAAUAAGACCCACUGUUUAUUAGAGACCUCUGACAGCUCCUCAAACACGAAAAAAGAUUUCCAAGCAGUGGAUGGACAAUUUAUGUAAGUAUGUCUUAUCUGAUGGCUUCACAGUAAUCUGGUUUCCCCUAAGAAGCUAAGACUAUCUGGGCUAUUUGAGAUCCUGCAAGAUUUAUCAAGACUAUACUAGCCAUAUGAAAGCAUGUUAACACAGGGAGGGAGAGAGGAAAAGCCCUCCACGUUAUGACUGGCAUACACGCUUCCAAAGCAUCGUUACUAACUGAAGGCCCAGUUCCUGAGGCGAUCACCCCAGACACACUGAAUGCAAUUUGUUGGUCACUGAUUUGCCGCUGGCUGAAAUGACUAAGAAGUGGAAAUGGGAGAUGCAGGAAGAAAGUCACUGUCCUAUGAUGAGAGACGGAUGUGUGGGGCCCUAAUGAGGAACCCUUUACUCCAUGAAACCGAGGGAAAGAGCUGCGCUGAGCCACGUCUGGCUGACUCUGCACAGACAAAACGGGGCAGCUCUGCUGGCCACCAAGCCCAUCAGCAGCCAGGUGGUCAGCGAGGAGCAGCUGCCCUGAGGGCUGAUGGUAGGAGACAGAGAGCCCAGGGCCGAAAGAACAGCGGGCUCAGUGCCCCGCUCCCUCCUCCCCAGCCCCUCCACGGGGAAGCACAGUUUGGCCCCAUUUUCAAAACCACUGUGUUUUAUUUCUAUUGUCCCAAACUCUCUGGCCUUCUUCCUAGAGAACACCAAGAGGAAUGCUCUCACCAGUUUGGUUGAAACCUUAUUUUUUAGUUUGUGCACAUUCUAUGUCACUGUGCUAAGAGUGACCAGAUGUAUUAGUCAGUUUUCAUGCUGCUAAUAAAGACAUACUGGCCCAG